GACAUUCCUAGCUGUUUGCUGUCUUGUAUGGAACUCCAUGUGAUCCACAGCUAAAGGGCUGACACACUUGCUACUGAAGCACCGCGGUCACCUCAGAGAAAUACACGUCCUACCCAGAGUAUUUCAAAAUGCAAAGGCAAGAAGAAGAAGUGGGAGGAGGGACAGAGAAGUCUCCACAGCCUGGAGGAUGAGAUGCUUCAGACAGAGGAAAAAAGCAAAGGUUUUUCUCCAUUCCCAGCCAAGAAGCAACACCUCUCCUCUGCCAGUUCAUCUCUGAUUUCAUCUCAUUCCUGGCCACACUGGAUAAAAGACAGAGGUCAGACUUUCAGAGACAUCUCCUAAGCCUUACUCAACUAUGGGGGAAAACCAGCACUUACUAUUAUCUUGGAAGACUUGAACCAAAGAUUUUUAUGUCAGUGGGAAGAUUCCUGCUGAUCCUAGGGCUCUUUGGGCUGAUCCUCCAUGUAAAGCACGGAGCAAUUUGGUCACAGUUGUUGUUUGGAAAAUGGAAUGUGGUAUUUUGCAUCUGCUUCUGUUCUAUGCUACACCCCACACAGAACACAUUGCAGUAGUUAGCUAAUAUUUACUGGGGGUGUAUCACAGCAACUAGUGUCACACUGGAAAGAACAGGCAAAGCAGAAGUAGAUAGGAACUGGCUUUUCUCCUACACAGAUGCCCCACAGCAAUGAGUCCGGUAAGACAUGAAAGAAAGGCACUAUCAGUCAAAAAGGAAAGGUGUAACUUUGCAUUAGUCAUCUGUACCUCCUUCUCUUCCUCUCUUCGCUAACUCACAGAUGAUGCUAGGUUACCAGAAGGCUGGUCUUCUACCACCACCAUUACAUGUUACUACACAUCAUUAUACUCCAACCACAUUUGAAAUAGUAGUCUCCUGCAUGAAGCCCAGCCACCCAAACAAUUAAAUAGUCUUGCAUCAUCAAGUGUCAAACAAGCAAACGCCACUCUGCUAUUUACAAGUGUGCCUCAUACAGGUAGCACUUUUCUCCUUAUGCACAAUAUCCUGUCCUUACCACUCAUUAUUUAGUGUUAUUUAGGUCUCUUAAAAUCCUGCUUUCACCCACAUCACUACAGAUAAGUAACAUCCUCAUGCAACAUGUUGUUUGUGGCAACAACAGGCUACAGGUUUGCCCACCUGCGUAAAUAUUUGCACGUUCAAACCCUUCUGCUGUAAAUCUCUAAGAGCUGAUGUGCCAAUAAUUAUUCCAACUACACUGAUGCCUUCAGAAAGCAUGCCACCUGAAUUAAUGGCUUCACAUUAAAGUGGUGGUGACG
This 1290-nucleotide long non-coding RNA is filed under the name Gallus gallus (chicken). RNAcentral's name for it is "lncRNA (ENSGALG00010002242.1)". The record is from RNAcentral. Lineage: Eukaryota; Metazoa; Chordata; Aves; Galliformes; Phasianidae.